UGAUUCCAAUUUUGUAAGUCGCUCUGGAUAAGAGCGUCUGCUAAAUGACGUAAA
Molecule: non-coding RNA, 54 nt
Organism: Salmo salar (Atlantic salmon)
Lineage: Eukaryota; Metazoa; Chordata; Actinopteri; Salmoniformes; Salmonidae
Source: Rfam